GAUGAGCGCUGGCGGCGUGCCUAAUACAUGCAAGUCGAGCGAACAGACGAGGAGCUUGCUCCUCUGACGUUAGCGGCGGACGGGUGAGUAACACGUGGAUAACCUACCUAUAAGACUGGGAUAACUUCGGGAAACCGGAGCUAAUACCGGAUAAUAUAUUGAACCGCAUGGUUCAAUAGUGAAAGACGGUUUUGCUGUCACUUAUAGAUGGAUCCGCGCCGCAUUAGCUAGUUGGUAAGGUAACGGCUUACCAAGGCAACGAUGCGUAGCCGACCUGAGAGGGUGGAGCGGCACCAGGGAAAAGGAGACCGGGCCAGAACUCCACGGGGAGGAGGAAUGGGGAAUUCUCCCGAAAGGGGGAAAGUCUGGCCGGGGCAACGCCGGGGGAGUGAGAAGGGUUUUCGGAUCUAAAAACUUUUUUAUUGGGGAAAAAAAAUUGGGAAAGUAACUAUCCCCGUCUGGAGGGUACCUAAUAAAAAAGCCAGGGCAAACUCGGUC
RNAcentral lists this ribosomal RNA (498 nucleotides) under uncultured bacterium. RNAcentral's name for it is "partial 16S ribosomal RNA". It matches the Rfam family "Bacterial small subunit ribosomal RNA", at positions 28 to 507 of the family's 1533-position model. The record is from RNAcentral.